GCAGCCGUCUUGGUGCCCGGCAGGGACUGCUGGGCCAGUCUCUUAGUUGUCCUGGGCCCCUGGAUGAUUUUCCUCUCCUGAUGUGGGGAAACGAGGCUCCGGCAGAAUAUGUCCCCAACUGUCAGCGUUAUUCCGAUAAUACUGCAUGCCUACUGUGUGCCAGGCAAGGCACUGUGCUUUGGCUUGUGAGUUUGUCUCUGAUUCCAAAAGCCGGAAGGGUUCAAUGCUAAAGAUCCUGCCCAGUUCUCAAGCCAAAGUUAACAAAAGAAUGAACAUUUCAAGACCACCGGCGGCAUCACUGGGCAGGGAUCCUGAGUACCUGGGACCUUUCAUUACCACUGUCUGGCCUCCAGACUAAGGCUCUUUGUGACAGCCGUGGUCCAUAAGCCCCUGAGAUAAAACUGAAAUGAUGGCUCCAGCAGCCCUCCUUAUCCACGUAUGAUAUGUCUUCCUCUGCGACUUCCCACCCCCUGAGCCCUUGGUCUCAGGCUAAUCCUACUGAGGACCCACCAGGUCUCGGUGA
Long non-coding RNA from Rhinolophus ferrumequinum (greater horseshoe bat), 523 nucleotides. RefSeq lists it as uncharacterized. The transcript is spliced from 3 exons. The record is from RefSeq and is a predicted model, not a curated record. NCBI's taxonomy places the organism in Eukaryota, Metazoa, Chordata, Mammalia, Chiroptera, Rhinolophidae.